GUAAGGAUAUUAGCUCUUUAAUGGGAGGUCCUCUCAUCAAGAAUGGUGCUGUGUUGGUCACGGUUGGACAUACCUUAGCGCCUGAGCGUAAGUGUUGCCAAUUUGGGAAAUUGUACUCUACAUGAAAUUGUGGAACAGGUUAAAAAGGCUGUGGUUUUUGUGGCCAAAAGAUUUCCAGAAACUAGAGGGAUUUUCAUAUCCGGUCACUCGGCUGGUGGUCAUCUGUCGGCCAUGAUGCUGUCCGUAGACUGGUCAAGCCUUCUUGAGGGAAGCAAGAACCUUGUCAAAGGUAUCCUUCCUAUUUCUGCUGUAUUUGAUGUUCGACCUCUUACAAAAACUUACAUCAACGAGCCAUUGCUUCUUACAGAGUAAGUAUUAGAGAGAAAGAGGGGG
This is an RNA transcript of Strongylocentrotus purpuratus (purple sea urchin), 393 nucleotides long. It is a transcript of the gene named kynurenine formamidase-like, with no coding region annotated. The transcript is spliced from 4 exons. The record is from RefSeq and is a predicted model, not a curated record. NCBI's taxonomy places the organism in Eukaryota, Metazoa, Echinodermata, Echinoidea, Camarodonta, Strongylocentrotidae.